AGAGCAACUCUCAAAUGUUGCUGAAUAUGGAUCAUCUAUUCUGGGAACAUAAACCUGAUUGCCAUAAGCGUCUCCAAAUGCGAGACUGAUAUGGUCUCGGGUAUACCGUGUUGAGGAACAGCUUGUCGUUAUCUGAACUGUGUAAGAACAGCUAUUUGCAUUCUGGGUGGUGUUGAUCUUGAAGGAUCUGAAAGGCUGCGGCAGA
This 205-nucleotide unclassified non-coding RNA is filed under the name Hevea brasiliensis (rubber tree). The record is from RNAcentral. Lineage: Eukaryota; Viridiplantae; Streptophyta; Magnoliopsida; Malpighiales; Euphorbiaceae.